CUCCUGGCUUCACUUCUCAUGAAGCCAAUGCAAUAAAAACAAAAACACUAAUCUGAUCAAGCUUUCCUGUCAAUUCAAUUCUGGUCUGUAUCGCUGUAGAGACCAGAUGUUUACCCAUGCUGAAGACAUAUCUAUAUCAUCCUGUUCCAAGCACACUGAACACAGAAUACUGCUUUCAGGUGCCGAUGGGAACCACUUUUAGACAAAGCAGUUCCUGUGGGGGGUCUGAACCUGCAAAGAGAGCCUCGGAUGGAGGGGGCUGGACUGGCCUCACCAAGGGAGAAGUGGACAGCUGUGUUCGCAACCCAACACAGUGUUGUGUCUUUGGCUAUGCUGGAUUAAGUGAUAUGACAUGCUAUUCUAUAAAAUAACAUUACCUGAUUAAGCUAAUCAGGUAAAUAAUUAACUAGAAAGUUGGGGCACCAUGAAAGGUGUUUAUAGAGCUGUUAUCUUCCGAAUAAACUCUUAAAGACCUAGUAA
Oncorhynchus masou masou (cherry salmon) is the source of this 480-nucleotide long non-coding RNA. RefSeq lists it as uncharacterized. The transcript has 3 exons. The record is from RefSeq and is a predicted model, not a curated record. NCBI's taxonomy places the organism in Eukaryota, Metazoa, Chordata, Actinopteri, Salmoniformes, Salmonidae.